GACGAACGCUGGCGGCGUGCUUAACACAUGCAAGUCGAACGGAAAGGCCCCCACCUUGGUGGGGGUGCUCGAGUGGCGAACGGGUGAGUAACACGUGGGUGAUCUGCCCUGUACUUCGGGAUAAGCUUGGGAAACUGGGUCUAAUACCGGAUAGGACCAUGGUUUAGUGUCUCAUGGUGGAAAAAUUAUUGUUUUGGUGCAGGAUGAGCUCGCGGCCUAUCAGCUUGUUGGUGGGGUAAUGGCCUACCAAGGCGUCGACGGGUAGCCGGCCUGAGAGGGUGGACGGCCAGAGUGGGACUGAGAUCCGGCACAGACGCCUAGGGGAGGCAGCAGUGGUGAAUAGUGCACAAUGGGCGGAAGCUUGAGGCAGCGACGCGGCGUGGGGAAUGACGGCCUUCGGGUUGUAAACUCCUUUCGUUAGGGACGAAGCCACACCUUUUUUGGGUGUGGUGACGGUACCUUUGUUAAGAAGCACCGGCUAACUACGUG
RNAcentral lists this ribosomal RNA (489 nucleotides) under uncultured bacterium. RNAcentral describes it as "partial 16S ribosomal RNA". It matches the Rfam family "Bacterial small subunit ribosomal RNA", at positions 28 to 507 of the family's 1533-position model. The record is from RNAcentral.